This is a long non-coding RNA of Symphalangus syndactylus (siamang), 408 nucleotides long. RefSeq lists it as uncharacterized. NCBI's taxonomy places the organism in Eukaryota, Metazoa, Chordata, Mammalia, Primates, Hylobatidae. The record is from RefSeq and is a predicted model, not a curated record.
GCGUCUUGCUCCGUCGCCCAGGCUGGAGUGCAGUGGUGCCACUCCUGGUGUAGGACUGAACAUCAAAAAAAGAAAAUAUCAGGAAGAAAGGAAAGAAGGAGCGGCAUUUCCAUCCCAAACACAUCAACAUUCCAGUGGAAAGCAUACUUAUGGGGACCAUCUGAAGGUUUCGUAAUGAUCAAUUCUGCCAGAUGAUUUAAGUUUCUUUCCUAAAACUGGAAUCUAGGUAGGAUGUGCAACCAAGAUCCCAUCUCAGUCCUCGAAGAAACUGUUCUGAAUUCUUUAGAUUCAUGCCCUUAGCUGACAUUGAGGAGCUCCAAGAAAUAGUCCUAGGAAACCUGUUUAUUUAUUACAAGGCUGCUAUUUAGGAUCUUACCACUAUGUCAUCUAUAUGAAUAAUUAUCAAAA